GACGAACGCUGGCGGCGUGCUUAACACAUGCAAGUCGAGCGGUAAGGCCCUUUCGGGGGUACACGAGCGGCGAACGGGUGAGUAACACGUGGGUGACCUGCCCUCAGCUCUGGGAUAAGCCUGGGAAACCGGGUCUAAUACUGGGAUAUGACUCCAUGACGCAUGUUGUGGGGUGGAAAGCCUUGUGCGGCUGAGGAUGGGCCCGCGGCCUAUCAGCUUGUUGGUGGGGUGANGGCCUACCAAGGCGACGACGGGUAGCCGGCCUGAGAGGGCGACCGGCCACACUGGGACUGAGACACGGCCCAGACUCCUACGGGAGGCAGCAGUGGGGAAUCUUGCGCAAUGGGCGAAAGCCUGACGCAGCGACGCCGCGUGAGGGAUGACGGGCCU
This 390-nucleotide ribosomal RNA is filed under the name uncultured bacterium. Its description in RNAcentral is "bacterial SSU rRNA". It matches the Rfam family "Bacterial small subunit ribosomal RNA", at positions 28 to 418 of the family's 1533-position model. The record is from RNAcentral.